GGAUUGCCCCAGUAACGGCGAGUGAAGCGGCAGAGCUCAAAUGUGAAAGCUGGCUCCUUCGGGGUCCGCAUUGUAAUGUGCAGAGGAUGCUUCGGGAGCGGUCCCCAUCUAAAGUGCCCUGGAACGGGACGUCAUAGAGGGUGAGAAUCCCGUAUGGGAUGGGGUGUCCGCGCCCGUGUGAGGCUCCUUCGACGAGUCGAGUUGUUUGGGAAUGCAGCUCUAAAUGGGUUGGUAAAUUUCAUCUAAAGCUAAAUAUUGGCCGGAGACCGAUAGCGCACAAGUAGAGUGAUCGAAAGAUGAAAAGCACUUUGAAAAGAGAGUUAAAAAGCACGUGAAAUUGUUGAAAGGGAAGCGCUUGCGACCAGACUCGCUCGCGGGGUUCAGCCGGCAUUCGUGCCGGUGUACUUCCCCGCGGGCGGGCCAGCGUCGGUUUGGGCGGUCGGUCAAAGGCCCUCGGAAGGUAACGCCCCUAGGGGCGUCUUAUAGCCGAGGGUGCAAUGCGACCUGCCUAGACCGAGGAACGCGCUUCGGCUCGGACGCUGGCAUAAUGGUCGUACGCGACCCGUCUUGAAACACGGACCAAGGAGUCUAACAUCUACGCGAGUGUUCGGGUGUCAAACCCGUGCGCGAAGUGAAAGCGAACGGAGGUGGGAACCCUUACGGGUGCACCAUCGACCGAUCCUGAAGUCUUCGGAUGGAUUUGAGUAAGAGCGUAGCUGUUGGGACCCGAAAGAUGGUGAACUAUGCCUGAAUAGGGCGAAGCCAGAGGAAACUCUGGUGGAGGCUCGUAGCGGUUCUGACGUGCAAAUCGAUCGUCGAAUUUGGGUAUAGGGGCGAAAGA
Molecule: ribosomal RNA, 841 nt
Filed under: Penicillium viridicatum
Lineage: Eukaryota; Fungi; Ascomycota; Eurotiomycetes; Eurotiales; Aspergillaceae
Description: eukaryotic LSU rRNA
Rfam family: Eukaryotic large subunit ribosomal RNA
Source: RNAcentral